CCUACGGGUGGCAGCAGUGAGGAAUAUUGGUCAAUGGCCGAGAGGCUGAACCAGCCAAGUCGCGUGAGGGAAGACGGCCCUACGGGUUGUAAACCUCUUUUGUCGGGGAGCAAAGCGCGUCACGUGUGACUCAUUGAGAGUACCCGAAGAAAAAGCAUCGGCUAACUCCGUGCCAGCAGCCGCGGUAAUACGGAGGAUGCGAGCGUUAUCCGGAUUUAUUGGGUUUAAAGGGUGCGCAGGCGGAGGUGCAAGUCAGCGGUAAAAUUGCGGGGCUCAACCCCGUACUGCCGUUGAAACUGCAUCCCUUGAGUGCGCGAGAAGUAUGCGGAAUGCGUGGUGUAGCGGUGAAAUGCAUAGAUAUCACGCAGAACUCCGAUGGCGAAGGCAGCAUACCGGCGCGCAACUGACGCUCAUGCACGAAAGCGUGGGUAUCGAACAGGAUGAGAUACCCUAGUAGUC
Molecule: ribosomal RNA, 459 nt
Filed under: uncultured bacterium
Lineage: Bacteria
Description: partial 16S ribosomal RNA
Rfam family: Bacterial small subunit ribosomal RNA
Source: RNAcentral